Ornithorhynchus anatinus (platypus) is the source of this 77-nucleotide small nucleolar RNA. RefSeq annotates it as small nucleolar RNA SNORD24. NCBI's taxonomy places the organism in Eukaryota, Metazoa, Chordata, Mammalia, Monotremata, Ornithorhynchidae. The record is from RefSeq and is a predicted model, not a curated record. The transcript has a single exon.
UGCAGAUGAUGCAAAAGAACAUCCGCUGUCAGAAUGGUCGUGGUGACACGUCGCUAACCACCAAGAUCGCUGAUGCA